GCAAGCAUGGCUCAGUGGUUGAGCAUCAAUCUAUGAACCAGGAGGUCAAGGUUCGAUUCCUGGUCCAGGCA
Molecule: transfer RNA, 71 nt
Filed under: Myotis brandtii (Brandt's bat)
Lineage: Eukaryota; Metazoa; Chordata; Mammalia; Chiroptera; Vespertilionidae
Rfam family: tRNA
About the family: Transfer RNA (tRNA) molecules are approximately 80 nucleotides in length. Their secondary structure includes four short double-helical elements and three loops (D, anti-codon, and T loops).
Source: Rfam by way of RNAcentral